AACGAACGCUGGCGGCAUGCCUAACACAUGCAAGUCGAACGAGACCUUCGGGUCUAGUGGCGCACGGGUGCGUAACGCGUGGGAACCUGCCCUUAGGUUCGGAAUAACUCCCCGAAAGGGGUGCUAAUACCGGAUAAUGUCUUCGGACCAAAGAUUUAUCGCCUUUGGAUGGGCCCGCGUUGGAUUAGCUAGUUGGUAGGGUAAAAGCCUACCAAGGCGACGAUCCAUAGCUGGUCUGAGAGGAUGAUCAGCCACACUGGGACUGAGACACGGCCCAGAAUCCUACGGGAGGCAGCAGUGGGGAAUAUUGGACAAUGGGCGAAAGCCUGAUCCAGCAAUGCCGCGUGAGUGAUGAAGGCCUUAGGGUUGUAAAGCUCUUUUACCCGGGAUGAUAAUGACAGUACCGGGAGAAUAAGCGCCGGCUAACUCCGUG
Molecule: ribosomal RNA, 433 nt
Filed under: uncultured bacterium
Lineage: Bacteria
Description: partial 16S ribosomal RNA
Rfam family: Bacterial small subunit ribosomal RNA
Source: RNAcentral